GCACCGGGGCGGGACAUUCCCGCCUCCCGCCGCCUUCCCGCCGCCCUCCCGCCGCCUUCCCGCAGCCCCUCGCUCCGGGGAAGCGCCGAGGGACGGCCCCCUGCCCGCCCCGCCCCCGGCCGUGCCCGGCCGCCGCUCUCCGCCGCCGCGGGGGAAAGGCCGCUGCGCGCCCAACUUCACUUCAAGCAACUUCCCCGGCGCGGCGGAGCCGGUGCUGGGCUUUGCGGAGGGAGCAGCCGGUGGUUGGGCUGGGUGAGGUCUGGGCAGUGUCUCUGGAGUGAUCACAUUCCCUGUCCUUAAUGUGCCCUUGGUGACAAAGCUUGUGUUGUCACUAUGAGAAAAGAUUCAGGCCCUAUGGAUUGGAUGCAGCGGCAAAUUAUGAUUCUUUUUCCUUGCUGGAGUUUUUCAGUUCUGUUGAAUGUGUAAUUCCAACUAUGGCAACAAGAGUAGAAAUAAAUUCUACUUUGGCGUCUUUGACGGCAGUCCCUGACCUGGCUGAGCUCAGGGCUGAGGAGAAGGCACAGCGUGUGUAUGUCAGUGUGCUUUCAGAUGCCAGCAACAAGGCAAAGGAGGCCUCAGCAUCCCUGACUCUCGAAGAGAACAAGAAAUUUGGGAAUUCCUUGAGAUCUGCAACGAUGCCCUCGCUGGGAUCAAGGCCGAGACUUUUCCCGAAGCCUUUUUGUAAAGAGAAAUCCUCGGAUACUUUUGCAAACGUCAAACCGCCCGUGCCAGCCUUCAGAUCCAGCAGCAUGGUGAGAAAGACCACUGAGGAAACGUCGUCUGUGAGGGUGUUGAGUGGCAGUGUCCCUCCCUUAGUGGAUCAGAAAGCCAUUGGCACCGAAAAUCAGGCUGGCAGUGACCUGGUGACAAACGUGACUUUCUACACGGGGCCCAGUGCCAACACAGUCAUUCUGUUUGAGCCAGGGGGCCCCGAGCAGACCAAGGUCAGCCUGGCCCAGGAGAAAAAAGCUCCGGAGCGCAGGGGAUUCACUGCUCUGCAAAGCAAGGACCUGCAGGGCUCUGGGAAAGCAGCAGACACAGCCAGGAGUCCUGAUGGGGCUCUCCAUAGGCAUGUGUCGUUCUCCUCCACUCUCAGACCAGAAUCCUGGAACUCCCUCAAAACCAGUGACAAGAAAGAUGCUCGUGAAGUUCAUCCACGGGAGAAGAACAAUGAUGAUGCAAAUAAUCUCAACAGUAAAGCUGAUUUCUCUGUUGAUGUCCAGCAAAGGGCAAAACAUAGACCGGUGUCUGCUAUUUUUCUGGAAUCAUUACGAGAUCAAAAGCAUCACGCUGUGGAAGCUUCCGAGGAAAAAUCUCCUGUGGAGAAAUCUGGGGUUAGAAAACCAAGACCUUUGUCCAUGGACCUGACAGCUAAAUUUGAGCAUAAAGAUCUUUCUUCUUGCAAGAAGGCUGGUUCAUCCCACGAAAGCAAGGAGAAUGUAUCUGUAAUUGCUUUUACUGAUGUGGGUAGUCAUGAUCAGUCUGAAACGGGGCCAAAACAUGAAGAAACUGAAUUGAAUAAAAGCAAUUCUUCUAAAACAAAUCUGAAAUGCAGUAGUCAGGACAUUGGCAUCCUAAAUAAUGGGAAAUACACCUGGGAAACCAAACUUAAAUCUAAAAAUGAACAAAUUGAGACAAAACCAGAAAUAAUUAUUAACUUGCAGGGUCCUGAGAGAAGCCCUGAAACAACCAGUGAAAGCAGAACUAACAAGGGGGGGGAAAGAGCAGAUCAGAAGGAAACUUACACGUUCCUGGGCUGUGAAAGUCCUGCAGCUUCCUCAGAAAAAGAGAAUAAUAUUUUUAGAGGUAGUGUUAAAAAACACAUUAGUUUGUUUACUUUGGAAAAUCCCAGUGCCACAGUGGAUACAGAGAUUCUCCCAGCUGCUGCUGAGAAGGAAAACAGGUGUGUGACCAUCCAGCAGAGGAUCAAGGAGCUGACAACAGAAAAUCCUGAGGUUAAGGGAGGAAAUCUGCGCCGGUCCCUGCAGUCACGGCCACUCUCUGCAGACUUAACCAAGAUGUUUUCAAGUCCAACAUCAGGGGGUGAAGCAAAGCCUGAGAAACCUGGGGAGGCUGGAGCUGACUCGAUCCACGACCUGCAGGAAAAUCCAAAAAGCAAGGAGCUGAAGCUCACCCAUGGCACAGAUGUCACUGAGGCAUUUUCUCCUGGGAAGCCUUGGAAAUCCCGGCAGGUUUUAAAGAUAACCAAUAAACCUGAUCAGGUGGAGAGGAAAGGCAGCUUCCUUGGAGAUGGUCAACAUUUCUCACAGCAGAGUGAGAGUUCUGUCUCAUUCACGAGCAACUUUGAAAAGAAAUUAAACCCAGCUCUUCUGGAAAAGCCCUUCAUUAAAACUGUGCGGGCCACCGUGUUUGAGCACAAUGUGCAGAAGCACAACGUUGUUGCUGAGCAUUGUGGAGCUGAUCCUGCACCAAAAAGGACCCAGGAGCCUGAGGCAAAGCAGGACCUGGUGGUUUCAGGGCACAGCAGACGCUCGUGGAUGGGAGAAGGGGAGGAAAGAACCACUGCAAAGGAGCAUCACAAGCCUGAUCCAUCAAAACAUCCAGCACAUGUAGAGAAAAGUCCAAAACCAGCUCCUUCAAGUGAAGACAAGAAAAUGAGUCCAGGAGUUGUCUUAGAAAAAUCUUUGGUUGAGAAGAGUGAAAAACCCACUCCCAAAAAUGUAGAAGAUUCUCAAAUUUACCAAAGAAUAGAGCCCAGGUAUGAAAUCUUUCAGACUUGUGGUGAGAGGGCUCUUAGUGAAGCCAUCGCAAUGGCUCCUGAGAAAAAGGCCAUGACACUCAGAACUAGAAAAUCAUCUGUGAAAGAGAAUAAAACUGAUGAGGAUGUUGUACCUACAGGGCAGUCAGUUAAGACAAGUAGUCACACUCUUUACUUGAAAGAAGAUAAUGUUACUUCAGAAGCCAGAGAGGCAAAAGUUCUCACAAGCAAGGCUGCGUUGAGAGAACCUGCUGGUUUUCUCUCCAGUGAAUGCACUUUACCUGAACAGAAAAGAGACUCUGAUAAAACUGAUCCUGAGCCACUGUUCAUAGCUGAGAAAUCACCUUAUUCCACAAACAAAAGUAAAGGUUUGGGAAUGAGUGAAAAAGUCAGCAAGCUACAUGCUGAAAUUAAAGGUGAUAAGAGUGAAGUGUCUUCUAUAGAGAAAUCAGAGAGGAUUAAUGUUGUGAAAUGCUCUUCUGAGAAAAGGAGUUUCAGGGCAGGUGGGACAGACAUCCAUGAAUUCCGAACCAACUUGGAUCGUGAAGUGAUUUCCACAAGUGUCCACAAACACGGGGCUCAGGCUUCAGUGCUUGCAAGUGGGCAGUAUUUUAAAUCCUCCAGUAGCCACCCCCCUGAUACAAAAGGACUGAAUGUUACUAAAGAGGAAUCUGGGGCCUUUGGGUUGAGGAAAAGUCUGGAGUUAAACUGCAAAGAGCAAGACUUCAGCUUGGCUUGUACAGCUCCUGAAAACAACGAGAAACUCCGAGGAGCAGAUCCAGAAGACAAAGUCAGGAGAAGCAAAAGUAGCGUUUCUGACUUGAAGAUCUCUGAAAGGUGGAGGAGGAGGACCUUGCCUCAGGAGUCACUCAAGGUGGAAGAAGUUGUGUGGCUCACUCCUGAAAAUAUCAAGAAGCUGAGCCGGGCAGAUUCAUUGCAAUUGAAUGAAAAUUUACUUAAAAAGAAAAGCAAAAAUAUCAAAGAUGGCGUGGAGGGGAGUGAGGCUAACCAAGCUGUUCUUGGCAGUCCUGAUGAUUACAUGAAACAUCAGAGUUCUGUCUUUGAGCCAAAGGCAACUUAUUUUGCAGUGACUUAUCAGAUUCCUGGUAUCAAAAAAGAGAAAAGCUUUGUUGGUGCUCCCAGUGCAAGUGAAAUUAAUACGGUCUCUAGUUCAAGCGAGGCAGCAGCAAUUAAUCUGGACCCUGUUUUUCCUGGAAGGUCCAAACCUUUAUUGCAGCAACCAAAUAAAAAUGUGACAAGUUCAACUUGUAGAGAAGACUCCUGGGAAGCACGUAUGAGCAAGGAUUGGGUCAAAGAAGAUGAAAAAGAUGCUGUUUCCUCCAAAGAUGUUGCAUUUGGUAAUUUUCCUGCGUCUAGGAAAGAUAAUCAACAGCAUCACGAAAAAGGUCUGGAUCAUUCUAAAGAGAAAAUUAUAGAUGUUGAUGCUUUCCUGUUAAAACAUGAUCUGGAAAGUGCAGCUCAAGCUGAUCUCAAGAGUGGCAGAAGGAAAAUCUCCUCUUACCACGAGCCCCGGUCCCCGCCGCGUUCCGCGCAGGUGCGUAAGGACAGUGAGCUGUGCCCCCAGAAAAGGAGUGACAAUAAUUCUGAUCUGCCUGGAAGGAAAGCUGAGGAUGGGUACAGAUCCCAGAUUCUCGAUAUUGAUGCGCUUAUGGCAGAAUAUAAAGAAGAAUCGGCAAGGGCCAGUAAAGUUCAGGAGAAGCUUUCUGAAGAUCUUGGCUCGCUGAGUAGGGAGAGAUCAAAGAACAAAAGAAAUGUGUCGGAGAGAAUGACUCUUACCUACAGCUGGAAUGAGUGGAAGAGUGGAUCAGACCACUAUUCAGUUAAUAACAAACCAGGUGAACGUGCAGAAGAGCAGCACAGGCCAGAGAAACUAAUCCUAAAUGAAAAGAGCAAAGAGAAGCUGGAAUUACGGAGCCCUGAAUUUGAUAAGCAGAAGUCCAAGGACAGAAAGGUCAGCCCUCCUUACUGGGGAAGCCCCAGCAGCAUUUUUCCAGAGAAAUUUGUAAAUUCACCUGUGGAAUUUGCUAGGAAGAAAACUUUCAUUGUUGAUGAGGACGAGGAAGUGAACUUGACCUCCAGAAAUCAGGGUGCAAAAUUUGUAAUUGAAAAGGUGCAGCCCAUAAAUGCAGUGAGUACAGAGCAGAGGCUGGAAGUCAAUCUGGCCUCCAAGUUGUCCCUGAAGGCUGAUGAUGGGGUCUUGCAGAAGAAGUUGGUGACAAAAGAACAGUUCCUGGAGGUGUCUCCAGAGGGCGAUUGGAGCAAAAACAUAGUGAGGAGCUCUACACUGAGAAGCAAAGACAGCUCAAAUAAAAUGGGUGAGGGAGACUCCUUCAAAAGUAAGAGUGAUUGGAAGGGCUACAUGUCUGGGUUUGGGACUGUCCCCGCGGAUCUCAGGCGAUCCUACUCGGAGAAAUGCCGCCAAGGGAGGGACAGCCUGCCCCUCCUGCAGGAGAUGAGGGCGAGGAAGGACCUGCAUCGAUCCCGGCCCAGCUUCCCCUUGGAAACUGUGGAUAACUCGUGGAAACACAAGGUGUCAGCUCAGUCAGAUCCAUUCUUCCAUGAGGAUAAAAAGGCUCCCAGGAAAGAGUGGAGCAAGCAGAGCUCAGACAAAAUAGAGGGAACAGACUUUUCCUCAGUGUCUACACAGAGGAGCCACCACAGUUUCUACAAGGAGAGAAGAGCAGAUUUUGGGAUGGACCAGCUGAGGCAGUGCUUCUCCAGGCAGCCGCCGGGGGCGAAGGACACGGACACGCUGGUGCAGGAGCCCGACAGCCAGUACGGCACCUGGAGCGAGCAGCGGCACAGCGGCGACAGCUUUGUGGGAGAAUCUCCUUGCCUGGACAAUGAGGUGGUGUCCGGGCGGAAGCAGCCCGCGGGCAGCCACCCGUCCUCGCUGUCCUCACAGACUGAGCCUCCCUCCCUGCCUGAGCACCAUGACUUCUCCAAAGAGCAAAGGAGCACCAGCCUGGACCGUUCCAGCACGGACAUGGACUCCACUGAUGGCACUGAUGUGCCUGCUCCAGGGGACACACUCCCUGAGGACAAGAGUUACUUCUCCUUCAUUGAUCACACAGCUGUCCUGGACUCCAGUGCUCUGAAGACUCGGGUGCAGCUGAGCAAGAAGCGCCGGUGCCGGGCGCCCGCGUCGCACUCGCUGCGCAGGAGCAGAGGGCUGGACAUGGAGAACAGGUUUUCCUUGACAGAAGAGUCAGAUAAUGGCUGGAUGUUCAAAGAUUCCACAGAAGAGAAGAAAACUAUGCAACAGGAAGAUUCUGAGGAGGAAGACAAGAUCCAGCACACUCCAAGGUCAUCUUCUGUGCAAGCCCAGAGACUGCCUGUGUUCCCAGGGAUGGAUCACUCUGUUCUCAAGGCCCAGCUGCGGAAAAGACAGGAGUCUGAGAGCACUGGUGACAUCGGCUCUGCUCAGCUCUUCAAAUCCCCCAAAGCACAGCUCGGCACUCCCGGCAGCAGAGUGCUGCCCUCCAGUGUGGAAAAGGAGGACAGGUGAGAGAAUCCCAGCUCGUGCUCUUCUUGGUGGAAGGAAAAAAUAAUGCAACAAGCUGUCAGAAGAAAAGUCUCCUCAGUGGCUGAAGGAGCUGAAAUCAAAGAAGAGACAGAGCCAUUAUGAGAAUCAAGUUUGAAAAGGUACUUGGACAGUGAUUCUAACUGGGAGAAGAUAAAGAAGUUUAACAGAAGCCUUAACUCAUCUGAACCUAAACCCCCAUGUCAUGUUGCUGCUGUUUGCUUCCUGCCUCAACUGCUCUGUGCAUGGUGCCUUCCUGUUUUGUGGAGAAAAGCUGCUUCAGUUCAUAGUCAAAUACAAAGCUGUGUCUGUCAGCUCGGGGGGACAGUGGCACUUGAGAGCUGCCUGCCAGGAGAACCCCCCUGGGUCACGGUUAGCACUUCAGAAAGUCAUGGAAAACAGAGAAAUUUGGGAGUGCUGUGAUCCAGGGAACGCCCCUCGCUGUGGAACAGACUCUGUAGGUGUUCACCUCUGGGAGUUGUGUCUGGCUGGGCUUUGUGUUUGUUUAUGAAAAUAAUAAUUUUAAUCAAAUUUAUCUUUUUUUUUUUUGUGAAAAAAAUAGUAAGCUCCUAUUUAGAAUGAAAUUUGUGGAAGGUGAGAGUGGAAGAACAAAUCAUGUUUACUGCCAUAUUGAAAAAGGAAACUUGAUUAUUUUUUGUAAAAUGUAUUUUUGAUUGGCUUGUAUUUACAUGUGAUCUGCUGACCUGGCAGAUGGAGAUAAUUUUUAGAUGAACAAAAUGUUAACUUUUGUCACUCUUGAAGUGGUAUAUUCUGUGUUUUGUCAGCAUGUGGAAUAAUUGCUUCAUUGGAAUGUCUUUCCUAAAAAUGAUCAAGCAAUAAUGUCAACCAGUUCUCUUUAAAAAAAAAAAAAAAGUAAAAAUAUGUAAAUACUGUUUUUAUAACAAAAAAGGAAGGGAAGAGGGAGGAUGUUACACUCAUAUCAGGGUUCCAGUUAAUUGUUGAAUGUCACUUUAAUAGCAGUUCAGAUAGUCCCACUUCAUAUUUUUAUUUGUUAAUCUGUAAAUACCAGGUUUAAGUUUUUAUUUUUAUGCUGAUUUUGUGGGAUAACCUAAAUGUGAUCUUCAGUUUCUCAGAUGAUUUCCUGUCUUUCCUUUGGCAAGAUGUGCUGAUAGCAGAGUAGAGCUCUCCUGGACCACACGGGUGUUUGGGUAUCCCUAAUUCUCAGAUAUUCCCUGUCUCUGGCUCAUUCUGAAACACCGACCCCCAUGGCCAUGGAGGACAGACUCGAUUCUUGCCCCAGAUAAGUGCUCUUUCAGUAACCUUUAAAGUCUAGUAGCCCAGGGAGGGAGGUGACCCCAGGUUGUUCCUCAGGCUCAACCAGGAAAACGUGGAAGAGGGAAAAGGAGAGUGGAGAGCUCUCCUCACCUGGCAGAGCUCCUUGGGCUGCACUCCCCACGUCCUGCUGAGGGGCUCCUCUGGAUACAAACCAUAAAGCACCAGCACUUCAGCUCCUUUUCCUUUUUGUCUUUUUUUUUUUUUCCCAAUCAGCGUUUUGGGAGCGCGGCUCCCAUGGGGCCUGCCCAGGCCAGUGUCUGUCAGGCUUGGAGCUGCCAAAACCAUGUGCCAAUUCACCUCAUGGAGGAGUCACAGGGGGGCAUUUGCAGUCCCAGUCUGCAGGAAAUAGCAGCAGGAUGAAAUAGCAGCAGGGUGGCAGGAGACAAGUCCCAUCUGCACAUCUCCCGAAUCUUAUUCCGGUGGCAGCUCCCUGUGCUCCCUGGAGAUGAGAUGGAGACAUCUGUCUGAUGUAAAAGUCUUUUCCCUGUUGCUUUGCCCCGUUUCUCAUGGGAGCUGUUGCCACUGUUAUUUUGGCAGCCCCUCUGCUCCCCACAGAGCAGUGAUCCCCAGGAUUCUGGUGGAAUUUUGGGGAUGGGCCAUGUCAGUGCAGCCACCACCAUUGACCAGCUCCUUUUAAAACCUUGCACAGAUUUCCUUCCCUCUCCUUUAGAUGAUGGUGGAGAAGGUGGCUCUUGGUGUGUUUUUGGGGGUAUAUUCCUGUGGCAGCACCCAAGGGUUCCGUGGUGUGUGACACCCCUGGGCCAGCCUGGCAGCAGGUGCAGGUGAGGAGGAUGAUGGUGGCUGUUCUCACUCACAUCAGGUGGGGCCUCCCAUGUCCAGAAAUCAGUCCCUGCUCACAGGAACUUUCACACAGGCUGCGUUUUCCACUUCCACAGGUGACAGUGUUGUGUUCCCAGCAGCUGGAGGAUUUAUUGGUUCUUGGUCUAGGCCAGAAAUUCUGUAACUGUUUGUGUGGAGGAAACUGAGGGGAUUGACACGAGGUUUCCACACAGCCCUUGAAUGUGUUUGCAUUUCCACAUCUGCUUGGACAAUGCACUGAAAUUACUGUAUUGAGUAGUUUAACCUACUACUGAGAAAUGUUUAAUGCUUAAAUGUCUAAUUAAAGAGCAUCUUUAGAAUGUUGUUGAAUGGGAAAGUGUUUUUUCUGCUCUGUUAUUUCUUUAUAUUGUACAUGGAUUAAAUAUCUACUUCCUUCUCUUCGGGUUAUCACUCUGUAAUAAAAGAUAUAUAAAUAUGUUAUUACUUCUUAAAUGAUAGAACAGACUGUAAUACACUUUAUAUAAUUCUAUUUUAAUUCCAAA
Molecule: RNA transcript, 8881 nt
Organism: Passer montanus (Eurasian tree sparrow)
Lineage: Eukaryota; Metazoa; Chordata; Aves; Passeriformes; Passeridae
Gene name: KIAA1671 ortholog
Exons: 13
Source: RefSeq, a predicted model, not a curated record